AAUGAUAAAGAUAUAUGAGAAUAUGAGACUGAAUAAUAGCCAUUAGAUUAAAAUGAAUGGUUGAGAUUAAAACACUUUUUAAUGUGUCUUUUCCACUCAAUCACAAACCCUUCAACUUCUCUCUUCAUUGUUCAUUCCUUCGAAGAAUCUUUCUCUCUCACGCCUUACCCCCGCAGCUGCCGAUGGAUACAGCAAUACACCAAUGAAUUCACCAUCUUAGUUCUGGCCAACCUCCACUGACCCAUAAACUUCCGACCGCCGUCUCAGUUCCGACCGCUGUCUUGCACACAAGUAAAUCUUACGACAUUGUUGCUGCAACCAUUAAAUUACAUCAGUUAAUAUAAAUCAAUCACAAGGUUAUUAUAACAUAAGACAAUGUCAAGGUCUCGUUGCUGCCAAAUCAAAAGAAGAACAAUAUUAAAUUCAAUUUGUAUUAGCUAUAUAUAAGCAAUUCAACCAUUUGAAAGUAUCCCUUCACAAAUUUCUUGUUGGUAACUAAAGAACAAAAGGGACGAGACACAGAUCCACCAUCAUCAUGUCCACCGUUAACGUAAUCCUUCACAAACCAUUUAAUAAAUUCCUCUUCUAAAGUUGUUUCAAUUUAUCAAUUCAUAGUUUUCUCAACUGGCUGCUGAAAGUUUCACAUCGGAAGAAGGCAAUCAUGCUCAACAAUCACAUCUUCUAAGGUGGUGUGAAUUAGAUCUAAUUUUUUACAAUCCCUCAACAAUCAGAAACGGCAACCAGGCUCUCAAGCCGACAACCGACGAUGAUGGAAGAAGGCGACUGGCCGGAAGUACUAGUGGUGGAAGGAAAGGGAAGAACCGGUCGGGAAUGGUAAGAGAGAAGUAAGAUACGGAAGAAGGAAAUGUUUGGUUGAAUGUGACAUCACUCACAAUAAUUACUUUAAUCUCAACCAUCCAUUUUAAUCUAAUGGCUAUUAUUUCAUUCUCAUAUUCUCAUAUAUCUUUAGCAUUCUCAUAAUAUACAUCCCCAUAUAUAUAUAUAUAUAUAUAUAUAAGGAACUUUCAUUGUUCACACCAAGUUUUGUUUUCUUCCAUUGCUGACACACAAAAUGUCAUAAACAAACAACAGAAAUGCAUCUGAGAAAGAAUUCAUACAUAUUUGUUUGAUGCUUUUGAUGAAGGUGAUCAAUAUAUGCAUUGGUUCAUGC
Molecule: long non-coding RNA, 1171 nt
Filed under: Trifolium pratense (red clover)
Lineage: Eukaryota; Viridiplantae; Streptophyta; Magnoliopsida; Fabales; Fabaceae
Description: long non-coding RNA (TPRA_LNC012721)
Source: RNAcentral